Molecule: non-coding RNA, 72 nt
Organism: Stegodyphus mimosarum
Lineage: Eukaryota; Metazoa; Arthropoda; Arachnida; Araneae; Eresidae
Source: Rfam
GCCUUCGUGGUCUAAUGGUUAGAACACUCGGUGCGUAUUCGAGAGGUCUAGGUUCGAGUCCCGUCGAGGGCA